This 332-nucleotide ribosomal RNA is filed under the name uncultured Gracilibacter sp. RNAcentral describes it as "bacterial SSU rRNA". It matches the Rfam family "Bacterial small subunit ribosomal RNA", at positions 568 to 898 of the family's 1533-position model. Lineage: Bacteria; Bacillati; Bacillota; Clostridia; Eubacteriales; Gracilibacteraceae. The record is from RNAcentral.
CGAGUAGGCGGUUUUACAAGUCAGAUGUGAAAUGCAUGGGCUCAACCCAUGAACUGCAUUUGAAACUGUAAGACUUGAGUGCGGUAGAGGAAAGUGGAAUUCCCAGUGUAGCGGUGAAAUGCGUAGAUAUUGGGAGGAACACCAGUGGCGAAGGCGACUUUCUGGGCCGUAACUGACGCUGAGGCGCGAAAGCGUGGGGAGCAAACAGGAUUAGAUACCCUGGUAGUCCACGCCGUAAACGAUGGAUGCUAGGUGUGGGAGGUAUCGACCCCUUCCGUGCCGGAGCUAACGCAAUAAGCAUCCCGCCUGGGGAGUACGACCGCAAGGUUGAA